This 722-nucleotide ribosomal RNA is filed under the name uncultured Fusobacterium sp. Its description in RNAcentral is "bacterial SSU rRNA". It matches the Rfam family "Bacterial small subunit ribosomal RNA", at positions 28 to 776 of the family's 1533-position model. The record is from RNAcentral. Lineage: Bacteria; Fusobacteriati; Fusobacteriota; Fusobacteriia; Fusobacteriales; Fusobacteriaceae.
GAUGAACGCUGACAGAAUGCUUAACACAUGCAAGUCAACUUGGACUUCGGUUUGGGUGGCGGACGGGUGAGUAACGCGUAAAGAACUUGCCUCACAGAUAGGGACAACAUUUGGAAACGAAUGCUAAUACCUGAUAUUAUGAUUUUAGGGCAUCCUAGAAUUAUGAAAGCUAUAUGCGCUGUGAGAGAGCUUUGCGUCCCAUUAGCUAGUUGGAGAGGUAACGGCUCACCAAGGCGAUGAUGGGUAGCCGGCCUGAGAGGGUGAUCGGCCACAAGGGGACUGAGACACGGCCCUUACUCCUACGGGAGGCAGCAGUGGGGAAUAUUGGACAAUGGACCAAGAGUCUGAUCCAGCAAUUCUGUGUGCACGAUGAAGUUUUUCGGAAUGUAAAGUGCUUUCAGUUGGGAAGAAAAAAAUGACGGUACCAACAGAAGAAGUGACGGCUAAAUACGUGCCAGCAGCCGCGGUAAUACGUAUGUCACAAGCGUUAUCCGGAUUUAUUGGGCGUAAAGCGCGUCUAGGUGGUUAUAUAAGUCUGAUGUGAAAAUGCAGGGCUCAACUCUGUAUUGCGUUGGAAACUGUGUAACUAGAGUACUGGAGAGGUAAGCGGAACUACAAGUGUAGAGGUGAAAUUCGUAGAUAUUUGUAGGAAUGCCGAUGGGGAAGCCAGCUUGCUGGACAGAUACUGACGCUGAAGCGCGAAAGCGUGGGUAGCAAACAGG